CCUCGACGAGGACAUUACAGAAGUUGUGCCGAGGUCAUGGGUUAAAGGUGAUGAAUGUUUUUGGCCAACAUUCAUUUCUGAGGAAAAAACCCAAAAGGCCAUAAAGAGGCAUGAAAUGCCAGGCCCUGGCUGGAAAAUCUUCAAAAUAAGAACACUCUUUGAAAAAGUAGAUGACUUCAGUAAGGCAAGGCAAAAGCUGAAGGACUACAACAGAAAUGGAACGGCAGUCCUCCAGUCAGAGGAUGAGAGCUCAAUGGCAAAAAGGAGAAGAAAAGCGACACAUUACCCAGGAUUUGAAAACGGCAGUACUGACUCUGAAACUGAGCAGACUCCAAAAAGAAGACCAGAGUCUCGG
This is a long non-coding RNA of Xyrauchen texanus (razorback sucker), 355 nucleotides long. RefSeq lists it as uncharacterized. Lineage: Eukaryota; Metazoa; Chordata; Actinopteri; Cypriniformes; Catostomidae. The transcript is spliced from 3 exons. The record is from RefSeq and is a predicted model, not a curated record.